UCUUUAGCUCAGCUGGAUAGAGCAACUGCCUUCUAAGCAGUAGGCCGAGGGUUCGAGUCCCCCAAG
Molecule: transfer RNA, 66 nt
Filed under: bovine gut metagenome
Rfam family: tRNA
About the family: Transfer RNA (tRNA) molecules are approximately 80 nucleotides in length. Their secondary structure includes four short double-helical elements and three loops (D, anti-codon, and T loops). Further hydrogen bonds mediate the characteristic L-shaped molecular structure. tRNAs have two regions of fundamental functional importance: the anti-codon, which is responsible for specific mRNA codon recognition, and the 3' end, to which the tRNAs corresponding amino acid is attached (by aminoacyl-tRNA synthetases). tRNAs cope with the degeneracy of the genetic code in two manners: having more than one tRNA (with a specific anti-codon) for a particular amino acid; and 'wobble' base-pairing, i.e. permitting non-standard base-pairing at the 3rd anti-codon position.
Source: RNAcentral